CAUUAGUGUAUAUCUAAAUUGUUGUGGUUAAAAAGCUCGUAGUUGAAUUUUUGCUUGCCGCCGAUGUCGGAACUUCCGUACGUUCGGCGGCGUGCGUCCUUGGGUGGAACCUGUGUGGCAUUAGGUUGUCGUGCAGGGGAUGCUCAUCGUUUACUGUGAAAAAAUUAGAGUGUUCAAAGCAGGCUUACGCCGUUGAAUAUAUUAGCAUGGAAUAAUAAGAUAGGACCUUGGUACUAUUUUGUUGGUUUGCGCACCGAGGUAAUGAUUAACAGGGACAGUUGGGGGUAUUCGUAUUCCAUUGUCAGAGGUGAAAUUCUUGGAUUUCUGGAAGACGAACUACUGCGAAAGCAUUUACCAAGGAUGUUUUCAUUAA
Molecule: ribosomal RNA, 373 nt
Filed under: uncultured eukaryote
Lineage: Eukaryota
Description: partial 18S ribosomal RNA
Rfam family: Eukaryotic small subunit ribosomal RNA
Source: RNAcentral